UCAAGUAAUUAAGUGCAUGUGGUGGAUGCCUUGGCAGUCAGAGGCGAUGAAAGACGUGAUAGCCUGCGAAAAGCUCCGGGGAGGCGGCAAAUAUCCUUUGAUCCGGAGAUGUCUGAAUGGGGGAACCCACCUACUUUAAGGUAGGUAUUGCAACAUGAAUACAUAGUGUUGCAAGGCGAACGAGGGGAAGUGAAACAUCUCAGUACCCUUAGGAAAAGAAAUCAAUUGAGAUUCCCUCAGUAGCGGCGAGCGAACGGGGAUCAGCCCAUUAAGUUAUGUGUGUUUUAGUGGAACGCUCUGGGAAGUGCGAACGUAGAGGGUGAUAUUCCCGUACACGAAAGGGCACACAUAAUGAUGACGAGUAGGGCGAGGCACGUGAAACCUUGUCUGAAUAUGGGGGGACCAUCCUCCAAGGCUAAAUACUCCUGACUGACCGAUAGUGAACCAGUACCGUGAGGGAAAGGCGAAAAGAACCCCUGUGAGGGGAGUGAAAUAGAUCCUGAAACCGCAUGCAUACAAGCAGUGGGAGCACCUUCGUGGUGUGACUGCGUACCUUUUGUAUAAUGGGUCAGCGACUUAUAUUCAGUAGCAAGGUUAACCGUAUAGGGGAGCCGUAGAGAAAUCGAGUCUUAAUAGGGCGUUUAGUUGCUGGGUAUAGACCCGAAACCAGGCGAUCUAUCCAUGAGCAGGUUGAAGGUUGGGUAACACUAACUGGAGGACCGAACCCACUGUCGUUGAAAAGCCAGGGGAUGACUUGUGGAUAGGGGUGAAAGGCUAAUCAAGCCUGGUGAUAGCUGGUUCUCCCCGAAAGCUAUUUAGGUAGCGCCUCGGACGAAUACCAUAGGGGGUAGAGCACUGUUUCGGCUAGGGGGUCAUCCCGACUUACCAAACCGAUGCAAACUCCGAAUACCUAUGAGUACUAUCCGGGAGACAGACUGCGGGUGCUAACGUCCGUAGUCAAGAGGAAAACAAUCCAGACCGCCAGCUAAGGCCCCAAAAUCAUAGUUAAGUGGGAAACGAUGUGGGAAGGCAUAGACAGCUAGGAGGUUGGCUUAGAAGCAGCCACCCUUUAAAGAAAGCGUAAUAGCUCACUAGUCGAGUCGGCCUGCGCGGAAGAUGUAACGGGGCUAAAACUAUGUGCCGAAGCUGCGGAUGUAUACUUUGUAUACGUGGUAGGGGAGCGUUCUGUAAGCCGAUGAAGGUGUGUUGAGAAGCAUGCUGGAGGUAUCAGAAGUGCGAAUGCUGACGUGAGUAACGACAAAACGGGUGAAAAACCCGUUCGCCGAAAGACCAAGGGUUCCAGUCCAACGUUAAUCGGGGCUGGGUGAGUCGACCCCUAAGGCGAGGCCGAAAGGCGUAGUCGAUGGGAAAAUGGUUAAUAUUCCAUUACUUCUGUGUAAUGCGAUGAGAGGACGGAGAAGGCUAAAUCAGCCUGGCGUUGGUUGUCCAGGUGAAAGGAUGUAGGCAUGUAUCUUAGGCAAAUCCGGGGUACUCUAUGCUGAGAUCUGAUAGCAAGCUGUACUUGUACAGCGAAGUGGUUGAUGCCAUGCUUCCAGGAAAAGUCUCUAAGCUUCAGUUACACAGGAAUCGUACCCGAAACCGACACAGGUGGUCAGGUCGAGUAGACCAAGGCGCUUGAGAGAACUCUGCUGAAGGAACUAGGCAAAAUGGUACCGUAACUUCGGGAGAAGGUACGCUGUUGUUGGUGAUGGAACUCGCUUCCUGAGCUGACGACAGCCGCAGAAACCAGGCCGCUGCAACUGUUUAUUAAAAACAUAGCACUCUGCAAACACGAAAGUGGACGUAUAGGGUGUGAUGCCUGCCCGGUGCUGGAAGGUUAAUUGAUGGGGUUAGCGUAAGCGAAGCUCUUGAUCGAAGCCCCAGUAAACGGCGGCCGUAACUAUAACGGUCCUAAGGUAGCGAAAUUCCUUGUCGGGUAAGUUCCGACCUGCACGAAUGGCAUAAUGAUGGCGGCGCUGUCUCCAGCAGAGGCUCAGUGAAAUCGAAAUCGCUGUGAAGAUGCAGUGUACCCGCGGCUAGACGGAAAGACCCCGUGAACCUUUACUGCAGCUUGACACUGAACUUUGACCUUACUUGUGUAGGAUAGGUGGGAGGCUUUGAAGCUGGAACGCUAGUUCCAGUGGAGCCGUCCUUGAAAUACCACCCUGGUAAUGUUGAGGUUCUAACUCUGUCCCGUGAUCCGGGACGAGGACCGUGUCUGGUGGGUAGUUUGACUGGGGCGGUCUCCUCCUAAAGAGUAACGGAGGAGUACGAAGGUGCGCUCAGCGUGGUCGGAAAUCACGCGUAGAGUAUAAAGGCAAAAGCGCGCUUAACUGCGAGACCCACAAGUCGAGCAGGUACGAAAGUAGGUCUUAGUGAUCCGGUGGUUCUGUAUGGAAGGGCCAUCGCUCAACGGAUAAAAGGUACUCUGGGGAUAACAGGCUGAUACCGCCCAAGAGUUCAUAUCGACGGC
This 2473-nucleotide ribosomal RNA is filed under the name Acinetobacter baumannii. RNAcentral describes it as "bacterial LSU rRNA". It matches the Rfam family "Bacterial large subunit ribosomal RNA", at positions 3 to 2512 of the family's 2925-position model. Lineage: Bacteria; Pseudomonadati; Pseudomonadota; Gammaproteobacteria; Moraxellales; Moraxellaceae. The record is from RNAcentral.